AUUCUUAGCCACAGGCAUAUUUUCCACCAGCUUUUAACAACCCACCACCUCCUUUUCCCCUUCCCUCCCACACAAUAACUGGGAUGACUUGUCUAGAUCUUAGGCAACAAUUCUCUUAGCACAUCAGCUCCUGGAAACAAAUGCACUUAACCAGAAAAACAGGGACAUCAACCAGCAAAGAUGCAUCCUCAUUUAAUAGAGCUUGAAAUUACUAUAAUCUGUAAAGUACAGCGAGAAGAAGAAGUUUCACCUGCCUGCACAUCUGUCGUUGACUCUCCAUCUGACUUGGAGGGACUCUGAGGGACCAACCUGAGCCUGAGAAGAGGCAAGAUUCCCCUUCAAGGACACACUGGGAACUUACGGACCUCUUUCUCCAUGGUGCAGAGCGCAGAGGUGAACAAACAGACGCAUAAUAGCUCUUGAGCUUGCCAUUGGGAAGUGAAAAUCAACUGCUUGAAUAAAUGUAAGGACUCAGGCUGGUCAAGUGAAGCAGCGGGAGUGGAGAAGGAACAUGAGGCCACCUUAUGUGACCAUCUCUCACAUUAGCCUUCUGCACUCACAGUUCCCUCCAUGCACAGCUGAAAAUGUUCUUCAGUUUAAAAACUGGGUGGCCGAGGCGGGCGGAUCACGAGGUCAGGAGUUCAAGACCAGCCUAGCCAACAUAGUGAAACCCUGUCUCUACUAAAAAUACAAAAACUUAGCUGGACAUGGUGGUGGGCGUCUGUAAUCCCAGCUACUUGGGAGGCUGAGACAGGAUAACUGCUUGAACCCGGGAAGUGGAGGUUGCAGUGAGCGGAGAUCGUGCCAUUGCACUCCAGCCUGGGCGACAGAGCAAGACUCCGUCAAGAAAAAACAAAACAAAACAAAAAACUCAUGUGAUUAGAUUGCACUUACCUAAAUAAGCAGGAUCAUUUCCCUAUCAUAAGGUUCUGAACCUUAAUCACAUCUGCAGAGUUCCUUUUGACAGGUAAGACAAUAUAUUCAUUUUCUGAAGAGUUAGAUCCAGGCAAGUUUGAGGGACUAUUAUUCUGCCUACCACACCCUCUCUAUAGAUUGUCCUAUCCCUCAUGGUGUCUGACUUCCUCCAAGAACUCCAAAGGAAAGGGAUUACAUUUUUUAUUUCUUCACUCCUGGAUGCUCCUUGGUCCUCAUGCAAAUCUGCCCACUGUGUCUCCAAAAGAAUUCCAACUAUGUAUUUCAGGGGAACCAAAUAUGAGAGCUGCAAGGAACUUUUCUUAAAAGCCUUUGACAUCUCCCCUUUCUGUCUUCUUUCUUCUUUCUCCUCUAGCUAACCUGAAACAGGUGUGAUGGUUACUUCCAGCCACUGUUGUGGACCAAGGGAAGGCAGAGCUCUGCCUAGUGUUAGGGAGGGAGAAUGUCUGAAGCAGCCUGAUCCCUGAUGUCCUUUAGGCUGUCAUACCGGACCUGUGCAGCAUCCAUCCAGACUUCUACCAUAUUAGAACCAAAUACACUUUUAUCUUAUUUAAACCACUCUUUGUUUUAAAUCUGUCUAUUAAUAGGAAGCCAAACUAAUCCUACCUGAUGCAAGAAAGAGAAUAGAAUUCUAAGAAACCCAUCUUCAUUGGCCAAUAAUUUUCACUUAGCAAGAUAGGUCACAGUAAUUCAUCUUUCCUGGAGUAUUCCAAAUAAAGCAUAAAUUUAGGAAUAAAACUACUGUGAUUGAGGAUUCAAAUUAGUAAUGGAGUGACACUUUGUGUCAAUUUUUGUCAAAUAUAUGUCCUAAGAAAUUGUUUCAUUAGCUAGCUAUUUAAACGAGUGAUAAUAUCUGUACUUAUAUCUGAUUUAUCGUGGUCCUAUGGGCAGCUGUUACUUCUGGAGAAUCUGCUUAGAAG
Molecule: long non-coding RNA, 1853 nt
Filed under: Homo sapiens (human)
Lineage: Eukaryota; Metazoa; Chordata; Mammalia; Primates; Hominidae
Description: HSALNT0371636
Source: RNAcentral